Molecule: transfer RNA, 63 nt
Filed under: Echinostoma paraensei
Lineage: Eukaryota; Metazoa; Platyhelminthes; Trematoda; Plagiorchiida; Echinostomatidae
Description: tRNA-Gly
Source: RNAcentral
GUUGGUAGUAUAGAUUUAAGUAUGCCGUCUUUCCAAGUCGGAGGUCUAAUGGUUUAGUCAUCG